Molecule: long non-coding RNA, 2774 nt
Organism: Amphiprion ocellaris (clown anemonefish)
Lineage: Eukaryota; Metazoa; Chordata; Actinopteri; Pomacentridae
Exons: 5
Source: RefSeq, a predicted model, not a curated record
CCAGCGCCUGUAUAUGGGUUGCCCGCUCAACGCGUUGCGCUAUACGAGCGCCCUCGAGCUGUCUCUUAAUGUUAAAUGAAUGCAUUUAAAUUGCAUAUGAACUGUUCCAUCAGUCGCUUUGGUUUGACAUCAAACAAACAGUUUAUUGGCAUUUCAAAAUGAAUGCAUCCCCUUCCAUUUGACAAACAAAGGAAGUUUUUCUCUCAGCAAAAUAUAGGCUUUGUUAUUAUAAUAAUAAUAAUAAUAAUAAUAAUAAUAAUAAUAAUAAUAAUAAUAAUAAUAAUAAUGAUCAACCCAAGAGCUGAAUAACAGGUGGAGAAGGAUUUAACAAUGCAGAAAAAUCUACAAAAAGAAACAAAAACAAAAAAACCAAGGAGGACAAGCACAAAUUCUUUGGACUUGCUUGGUAACCAACUACAGAGCAGGUGGUGGGAUAGUAGGCUGAAGCCUGGAGGCUGAAAUCACCAAAAUGUGGGCAGAAAAAAACACAUGCGCUGAAAGCUAUCCAGACCUUGUGACGGGGACAUACUUAACGUAAUUCAAAAAACUAACAAAAACAAGGAGUGAGCUAGAAUAACAGAAAUGUUAGCAUGCUAUUCUAAUGUAGCAAGCUACAGGACCGAUUCAGGGCAUUAACUUACUGUUUACAUGCUGCCAACAACAUGGACUGCACUCACAUUUUGCUGAAUGAUUUUGUGGAGGUCGAUCAGAACAAUUUGAUGCCUCAUCUCAUUUCCCAGUUUGUACGUCCGCAAUCUGAGGAGUCAAGGCAACAGGCAUUUCAUUUAAAUGAGACAUCUUUGCCCUGGAGCUGUUGUUUUAAUGUGGCAUCAGUUAAACACAACGCAGCUGCAUCAUCUGUCUAUUGUUUUGCUAUAAUAUACCCCUGUUAUACAUUAUACUAUUUUAAGAUCCCUGUCAGGAGCAGAAAAGUGUUCAUGAUAACUUACAAUACAUACUUACUCAUAAUUCAAUUCACAAUGUGGCAACAUGUAACAAGAACGUACAGAUGAUAUCCUUUCAUUAUUUAGCAAACACUGGCGGUGAAGGAUAAAAGGCACAACAUACAAAAGAGUACUAUACAAACAAAGAGUGACAAGUAUUCUGGUGAGAUGAGCCUAGAGCCAGAAGUAGUGUGCAUGAUAACUGUCUUCCAUUCAGUUAAGUGUUGGGUUGAAUAUGAAAAGGCUGUUGUAGGAGUAUGUUUUGUUCAGCUUAUUAAAACUCAUCUUGGUCAAACACACAUACAGCUCUCAGGCUUUUCUGCCUAUUUCUUGCAUUGUUUUAACUCCUGAUUCCAUUUGAAUAUAAAGAUAACAGCACGAUCUCUAGGUUUAAACUAAUCUACACUGAUUCUUUUUUUUUUUUUUUUUUUAAAGGCUUUUUGCUGUCUAAAACGGGGAGGAAGUAGCUCAAGGGACAUUCAGAUUUGUUAAUGAAGAGUUAUUGGAGUCUUAAUUCAUUCUGUUUUGUUAAUGAAAUGAGUAAGAAACCACAUUUUCAGAGAUUUGAGAACUGAUAGGACUGAUUAUAGAGUUGAAUCUGUGAAAUCAAAUCUUUCAAUACUCAGCCUUGUUUUAUCAUCCUGUUUAAUAAAGCUUUAAGUCUGUUGUUUUUAGACUUUCAUAGUAAAUGACUCCUUAAGUGUUUCACCUUUUUCUCCUGCUGGUUUUUUUUCUUCUUUGCAUUUAGCCACACUUUAAUCUGUGAUUAAAACUUUCUACUGUGUCUCUCUGCUUCCUGACUGUUCCACCUGCCUGCAGUCUGAUUGCAGCAAUGAGAAUCAGCUGCCGUAAUUGGCUCACACCAGUCGCCUGUUUGCAAUUCCACCUCCCAGCAUAUAAGCCAGCUCUGUCAUUCCCUCCCUGCUCCACCACGGAGUCGCAUAUCCUGCGUCAGCUCAUGACCACCAGAGCUUCUUGGACACGACUCUGCCCUCGUAGCCCUGCCAGUUCCUGUAUGGGUUUCCUACCUACCCCUUCAGCUGAGUUUCUUCCCGUUCCCUUCCUCCCUGACCGUUCCACCUGCCUGCGGUCUGAUUGCAGCAAUGAGAAUCAGCUGCCGUAAUUGGCUCACACCAGUCGCCUGUUUGCAAUUCCACCUCCCAGCAUAUAAGCCAGCUCUGUCAUUCACUCCCUGCUCCACCAUGGACUUGCAUAUCCUGCGUCAGCUCAUGACCACCAGAGCUUCUUGGACACGACUCUGCCCUCGUAGCCCUGCCAGUUCCUGUAUGGGUUUCCUACCUACCCCUUCAGCUGAGUUUCUUCCCGUUCCCUUCCUCCCUGACUGUUCCACCUGCCUGCGGUCUGAUUGCAGCAAUGAGAAUCAGCUGCCGUAAUUGGCUCACACCAGUCGCCUGUUUGCAAUUCCACCUCCCAGCAUAUAAGCCAGCUCUGUCAUUCACUCUCUGCUCCACCAUGGACUUGCAUAUCCUGCAUCAACUCAUGACCACCAGAGCUUCUUGGACACGAUGCUGCCCUUGUACCCCUGCCAGUUCUUGUUUGGGUUUCCUACCUACCCCUUCAGCUGAGUUUCUUCCUGUGACCAUGUGCUACAAAGCAUUACCGGGUAACAAAUACACCUGAUGAAGAUCAGAAAUAUUCAAGCAGAAACCUUCAGCUUCCACGAAGGUGGAAAUCAUUCUGCCAUGAAGACCUAACAACCUUCAAAGACAAUUUGAAAAUGGGAAGAAGUGCUGCGUCACUCUGCGAAGUGCUGCGUCACUCUGCGAAGCGCUGCGUCACUCUGCGAAGCGCUGCGCAACUCAACUCAAC